CAGAGGAAGGGCGGCCUCCACCUUCGAGUUCCAGCAGAGGAAGGGCGGCCUCCAGUGGGCCAGUGAGCCAGUGAGCAGCCGCAUUGGCUUCUUCCUCUUCCCUCCUUCCCGUCGUGCUUCCCGUGCUCCCCGACGUGUGGCUUGGCCAGCACGGAGGUGAGGCUUGACGGGUGCGGAAGGAUAGGCAGACAUACGUCACUUUGGGCGGUGGCGUAGGCCAGCAGGUGGCCGGCGGCCAUGGCGGUCUCUGGUUCCUCUCUCGUUCUAGUGUAGGGGAUAGGAGAAUGAAAGUAGAGAAGAGAAAAAUAAAUAAGAAAGAGACCCUGACAUGUGGGCCUCACAUGUCAGUUAACGGUCAAACAGGGAGUCAAACUAACGCUUCAUUUAGGUGUGGAUCCGACCUGUCAUAAUCACGAUUAGUCGUAAAGUAUUUGACGAUUUAGAUUUUUUAAAAACCGAUAGUUUUUUAAACCCUAGCCUGUAAACUAGUAGUUUUAUGCUAUUUACUCCUACAAUUAUGGAUAGACUACUUCGACUAUACUUUUGCGAGAGUCCAUUUUCAAUUGCUAUAAUCUCAUGGCACAUGACCUUCAUUUUUUUGUAAUUUUAUGGGUAAUUUUGCCACUCUAUGAUUUUCAGCAGGUAUAAUCUUAUGAUCCAUGAUCUUUACCUGAAUUUUGUUAGUAGUCAAAUAGUUUCUUCACAAGCGACAUUCUUCAUGUUUAGUGGUACUUGCACUGUGCGUGAGUAAGAGAGAGAGAAAAUGAUGAUGAAGCCUUUAUAAACUUAUAAGUUUCCAACAAGGGGAUACUUUUUUUUGUUAUGUUUUGAGUAAAUUAUUAUUGGUUUAUAUCUUGUGGCAAGACAUUCUUCAGAACUCGCAAAAACACUGAAAUGCAAAAGAAAUAUUAAAAAUUGUAGAUGAGAAUUCAUGCACAAUGACAAUGCUAUCCCUUCGAUCCAUAUUAAUUGUUACUCCCUCUGUUCUUAAAUAGUUGUUGUUGGACAGAACUAUAUUAGUUUUCCCCAACAACAAAUAUUAUGGUACAGAGGGAGUACAACUUUAGCAUAACUUUUUAUUUGAAAAUGUCAUAUAAUGAUCAUAGUUCCGCCUUGAAGAACAUGUUGGGGCCUGAAACGGUAUACAUACAUCUAUCUACACUACAAUCAAAGGAAGCAUUUCUUUGUCACACUUCAUCCGUAGGAAGGAAGCAUUUCUUUGUCACAUUUCAUCCGUAGGGUUUAGGCAGUUGCGGCUCCUAUUUUUUCCGCUCCUCGGUAGUACUCUCGUAGUCUAUGAUCGUAUCGUAUCAACCACCCGCGAAGAGCCAAAGACACAGGGGCGACAAGUCAACCCAGCAGGCAGCGAGCUCAAGCGUCAAAGGCCAGCAGAGGAAGGGCGGCCUCCACCUUCCAGUUCCAGGUGCUCCGGCUCCUCCACUGGCCCACCACUAUGCCGAUGGACACCCCGCCGCCGCGCGGGGCGGCGCUGUCCGACGACGACCGCCUCCUCGUCGCCCACUGCGCCGGACUCUCCUUCCCCUCCGCCUCCCGCUCCCCGCCCUCCGCCACCGCCUCCUUCCAGGUGCACCACGCGUCCCACCCCUACCCCUGCGCCGCCUUCGUCUUCCCGCCCACCUGGUCCGCCGCCGGCUGGAUGCCCCCCUCCCUCGACGCCGGCGG
RNAcentral lists this long non-coding RNA (1683 nucleotides) under Hordeum vulgare. Its description in RNAcentral is "long non-coding RNA (HVUL_LNC013108)". The record is from RNAcentral. Lineage: Eukaryota; Viridiplantae; Streptophyta; Magnoliopsida; Poales; Poaceae.